RNAcentral lists this ribosomal RNA (947 nucleotides) under Staphylococcus aureus. RNAcentral's name for it is "partial 23S ribosomal RNA". It matches the Rfam family "Bacterial large subunit ribosomal RNA", at positions 457 to 1412 of the family's 2925-position model. Lineage: Bacteria; Bacillati; Bacillota; Bacilli; Caryophanales; Staphylococcaceae. The record is from RNAcentral.
CUCCUAAGGCUAAAUACUCUCUAGUGACCGAUAGUGAACCAGUACCGUGAGGGAAAGGUGAAAAGCACCCCGGAAGGGGAGUGAAAUAGAACCUGAAACCGUGUGCUUACAAGUAGUCAGAGCCCGUUAAUGGGUGAUGGCGUGCCUUUUGUAGAAUGAACCGGCGAGUUACGAUUUGAUGCAAGGUUAAGCAGUAAAUGUGGAGCCGUAGCGAAAGCGAGUCUGAAUAGGGCGUUUAGUAUUUGGUCGUAGACCCGAAACCAGGUGAUCUACCCUUGGUCAGGUUGAAGUUCAGGUAACACUGAAUGGAGGACCGAACCGACUUACGUUGAAAAGUGAGCGGAUGAACUGAGGGUAGCGGAGAAAUUCCAAUCGAACCUGGAGAUAGCUGGUUCUCUCCGAAAUAGCUUUAGGGCUAGCCUCAAGUGAUGAUUAUUGGAGGUAGAGCACUGUUUGGACGAGGGGCCCCUCUCGGGUUACCGAAUUCAGACAAACUCCGAAUGCCAAUUAAUUUAACUUGGGAGUCAGAACAUGGGUGAUAAGGUCCGUGUUCGAAAGGGAAACAGCCCAGACCACCAGCUAAGGUCCCAAAAUAUAUGUUAAGUGGAAAAGGAUGUGGCGUUGCCCAGACAACUAGGAUGUUGGCUUAGAAGCAGCCAUCAUUUAAAGAGUGCGUAAUAGCUCACUAGUCGAGUGACACUGCGCCGAAAAUGUACCGGGGCUAAACAUAUUACCGAAGCUGUGGAUUGUCCUUUGGACAAUGGUAGGAGAGCGUUCUAAGGGCGUUGAAGCAUGAUCGUAAGGACAUGUGGAGCGCUUAGAAGUGAGAAUGCCGGUGUGAGUAGCGAAAGACGGGUGAGAAUCCCGUCCACCGAUUGACUAAGGUUUCCAGAGGAAGGCUCGUCCGCUCUGGGUUAGUCGGGUCCUAAGCUGAGGCCGACAGGCGU